This is a long non-coding RNA of Aedes aegypti (yellow fever mosquito), 379 nucleotides long. RefSeq lists it as uncharacterized. The transcript has 2 exons. NCBI's taxonomy places the organism in Eukaryota, Metazoa, Arthropoda, Insecta, Diptera, Culicidae. The record is from RefSeq and is a predicted model, not a curated record.
ACCCUAAACGUUGAACUGUCAAAUCUUCCUACCAUGCCGGUGGCAGUUCGUCUGAUAGAGUUCCUAACAAUCGCGAGUCUGUUUGUUCUUGCUUCAACCGGAGCGUUCAUUUUGUAUUUCGCGGACAAGCUUUUCCUACUCCUUGCAGCGAUCCUGUCGCCGUUGUUGGAGUUGAUGCAGCUCAUACUGAUGGCCCUGGAAUAUGUGUUUUACUGGACUACAAAACAUUUAAUUAGCAUUUUAGUUGCCAUUGGAUCGUGUGGAACGACGGUUGCAGUAAAUGAAAACUGAAUAGAAUAACAAUGUGAACAAAAUACAUGAAGCUCAAAUUUACAUAGUGCUAAGAAAUUUUCAAUGGAAUAAACUAAAUUCUCUAACA